CUACACAUGCAAGUCGAGCGGUAACACAGAGAGCUUGCUCUCGGGUGACGAGCGGCGGACGGGUGAGUAAUGUCUGGGAAACUGCCUGAUGGAGGGGGAUAACUACUGGAAACGGUAGCUAAUACCGCAUAAUGUCGCAAGACCAAAGAGGGGGACCUUCGGGCCUCUUGCCAUCAGAUGUGCCCAGAUGGGAUUAGCUAGUAGGUGGGGUAACGGCUCACCUAGGCGACGAUCCCUAGCUGGUCUGAGAGGAUGACCAGCCACACUGGAACUGAGACACGGUCCAGACUCCUACGGGAGGCAGCAGUGGGGAAUAUUGCACAAUGGGCGCAAGCCUGAUGCAGCCAUGCCGCGUGUAUGAAGAAGGCCUUCGGGUUGUAAAGUACUUUCAGCGGGGAGGAAGGUGUUGAGGUUAAUAACCUCAGCAAUUGACGUUACCCGCAGAAGAAGCACCGGCUAACUCCGUGCCAGCAGCCGCGGUAAUACGGAGGGUGCAAGCGUUAAUCGGAAUUACUGGGCGUAAAGCGCACGCAGGCGGUCUGUCAAGUCGGAUGUGAAAUCCCCGGGCUCAACCUGGGAACUGCAUUCGAAACUGGCAGGCUAGAGUCUUGUAGAGGGGGGUAGAAUUCCAGGUGUAGCGGUGAAAUGCGUAGAGAUCUGGAGGAAUACCGGUGGCGAAGGCGGCCCCCUGGACAAAGACUGACGCUCAGGUGCGAAAGCGUGGGGGAGCAAACAGGAUUAGAUACCCUGGUAGUCCACGCCGUAAACGAUGUCGACUUGGAGGUUGUGCCCUUGAGGCGUGGCUUCCGGAGCUAACGCGUUAAGUCGACCGCCUGGGGAGUACGGCCGCAAGGUUAAAACUCAAAUGAAUUGACGGGGGCCCGCACAAGCGGUGGAGCAUGUGGUUUAAUUCGAUGCAACGCGAAGAACCUUACCUACUCUUGACAUCCAGAGAACUUUCCAGAGAUGGAUUGGUGCCUUCGGGAACUCUGAGACAGGUGCUGCAUGGCUGUCGUCAGCUCGUGUUGUGAAAUGUUGGGUUAAGUCCCGCAACGAGCGCAACCCUUAUCCUUUGUUGCCAGCGGUUCGGCCGGGAACUCAAAGGAGACUGCCAGUGAUAAACUGGAGGAAGGUGGGGAUGACGUCAAGUCAUCAUGGCCCUUACGAGUAGGGCUACACACGUGCUACAAUGGCGCAUACAAAGAGAAGCGACCUCGCGAGAGCAAGCGGACCUCAUAAAGUGCGUCGUAGUCCGGAUUGGAGUCUGCAACUCGACUCCAUGAAGUCGGAAUCGCUAGUAAUCGUAGAUCAGAAUGCUACGGUGAAUACGUUCCCGGGCCUUGUACACACCGCCCGUCACACCAUGGGAGUGGGUUGCAAAAGAAGUAGGUAGCUUAACCUUCGGGAGGGCGCUUACCACUUUGUGAUUCAUGACUGGGGUGAAGUCGUAACA
Molecule: ribosomal RNA, 1453 nt
Filed under: bacterium
Lineage: Bacteria
Description: bacterial SSU rRNA
Rfam family: Bacterial small subunit ribosomal RNA
Source: RNAcentral